UACAGAGGGGGCAAGCGUUAUUCGGAAUUAUUGGGCGUAAAGGGCGCGUAGGCGGCUUCGCAAGUGGAAGGUGAAAUCCCUCGGCUUAACCGAGGAACUGCUUGGUAUACUGGUUAUCUUGAGCCACUUAGGGGCUACCGGAACAAAUGGUGGAGCGGUGAAAUGCGCAGAUAUCAUUUGGAACGCCAAUGGUGAAAACAGGUAGCUGGGAGUGUGCUGACGCUGAGACACGAAAGCCAGGGUAGCGAACGGG
RNAcentral lists this ribosomal RNA (253 nucleotides) under uncultured bacterium. Its description in RNAcentral is "partial 16S ribosomal RNA". It matches the Rfam family "Bacterial small subunit ribosomal RNA", at positions 524 to 776 of the family's 1533-position model. The record is from RNAcentral.